AAGAUUUUAAGUUAAAUAAACUAUUAACCUUCAAAGCUAAAAUUAUAAGAAAUUCUUUUAAGUCUUA
This 67-nucleotide transfer RNA is filed under the name Acnemia nitidicollis. Its description in RNAcentral is "tRNA-Trp". Lineage: Eukaryota; Metazoa; Arthropoda; Insecta; Diptera; Mycetophilidae. The record is from RNAcentral.